RNAcentral lists this transfer RNA (111 nucleotides) under Candidatus Woesearchaeota archaeon. RNAcentral's name for it is "tRNA-Leu". The record is from RNAcentral. Lineage: Archaea; Nanobdellati; Candidatus Woesearchaeota.
GCGGGGGUGGCAGAGCCUGGUCAUGCACUAGGUUGAGGGCCUAGUCCAAAUGCACUAGGUUGAGGGCCUAGUCCCUAAGUGGGUGCGCGUGUUCAAAUCACGUCCCCCGCA